AGUGAACGCUGGCGGUAGGCCUAACACAUGCAAGUCGAACGGCAGCACAGUAAGAGCUUGCUCUUACGGGUGGCGAGUGGCGGACGGGUGAGGAAUACAUCGGAAUCUACUUUUUCGUGGGGGAUAACGUAGGGACACUUACGCUAAUACCGCAUACGACCUACGGGUGAAAGCAGUGGAUCUUCGGACCUUGCGCGAUUGAAUGAGCCGAUGUCGGAUUAGCUAGUUGGCGGGGUAAAGGCCCACCAAGGCGACGAUCCGUAGCUGGUCUGAGAGGAUGAUCAGCCACACUGGAACUGAGACACGGUCCAGACUCCUACGGGAGGCAGCAGUGGGGAAUAUUGGACAAUGGGCGCAAGCCUGAUCCAGCCAUACCGCGUGGGUGAAGAAGGCCUUCGGGUUGUAAAGCCCUUUUGUUGGGAAAGAAAAGCAGCAGGUUAAUACCCCGCUGUUCUGACGGUACCCAAAGAAUAAGCACCGGCUAACUUCGUG
This 492-nucleotide ribosomal RNA is filed under the name uncultured bacterium. Its description in RNAcentral is "partial 16S ribosomal RNA". It matches the Rfam family "Bacterial small subunit ribosomal RNA", at positions 29 to 507 of the family's 1533-position model. The record is from RNAcentral.